RNAcentral lists this long non-coding RNA (997 nucleotides) under Homo sapiens (human). Its description in RNAcentral is "non-protein coding lnc-RDH13-4:1". The record is from RNAcentral. Lineage: Eukaryota; Metazoa; Chordata; Mammalia; Primates; Hominidae.
ACCUCAUCACCUCAGGGUGGCCCUUGGCAGCAGCCAUGUGCAGGAUUGUCCUAGACUCAGGCUGGGCUGGUCACCCACAAGGUGUCCCCCAGCCAUCCCCGGGGCAGCCUUGCUGGGAAAACUUAGAGUGAAGGAGUGAAGGGCGUGAGCCUUGGCCAGACUGCCUGGGUUGGAAUCCCGGCUCUGCCAUGGAUCUGCCGUGAGUCUCAGCCAGCCACUUUCCUUUCCGGGCCUCAGUUUCCUUAUCUGUCAAAUGGGAAUGGUAUGGUGCGCAACUGUAUGAGGGGUCAUGCGUGACACGUGGAUUGUGCUGUCAGGAGCUCGGGGGAGUACGUGCCCCUGGAAAGCACUAGAGCCAUGCCAGCGUUCAGUGAGCUCUGUGAGGUGACAGGAAGCUCCCAAGGCCAGGCCUAGGGCUUCUGGUGCGUGGGCAGGGGAGCGGAGACAGCUUCCUCUUUUGAAAGGUUGGCAGGAGCGAAGUGGAGGCUGAUGGAUGUAGGAGAAGAUCUCACACAGGCUGGGGGGCAAGUGUGGGUGCCCUGAGGUGCCCAGGGAGGGGAGCGUAAGGCAGGGCAGACCCGGGAGGGCCACGAGUGCCAGGCGAGGAGCAUGGUGGCUUCCAUCCUGAGGGUGAUACGGCCAUGAGGGGUUUAAUAGGUGGGGCAGGGUCAGCUCAGGGGGCCCAGAUAUGGGGGGAGACCAGCCUGGGAGCAUCUGGGGACACUUUCUGGAAGACGUGAGUACUACAGCACUAAGAGUUUGCUAGAAGGGCAGGAAUGAAGGGCCCUCCCAGUACAAAGGGGCGAAGACGGUGGUGAACUGCGGGGAAGGGGUGAAGACGGUGGUGAACUGCAGGGAAGGGGUGAAGACGGUGAACUGCGGGGAAGGGGCGAAGACGGUGGUGAACUGCAGGGAAGGGGUGAAGACGGUGGUGAACUGCGUGGGGAAGGGGUGAAGACGGUGGUGAACUGCGAACUGCGCGGGGUAGGGGUGAAGA